AUACGGAGGAUGCGAGCGUUAUCCGGAUUUAUUGGGUUUAAAGGGAGCGUAGGUGGGAUAUUAAGUCAGCUGUGAAAGUUUGGGGCUCAACCUUAAAAUUGCAGUUGAUACUGGUUUCCUUGAGUACGGUACAGUUGGGCGGAAUUCGUGGUGUAGCGGUUAAAUGCUUAAAUAUCUCGAUGAAUUACGAUCGCGAAGGCAGCUCAGCGGGCUGGAACUUACGCUGAAGCUCGAAAGUACGAGUAUCAAACAGUAUGAGAGACCCUUGUAGUCCUCACCUUAAACGAUUAAUACUCGCUGUUUGCGAUACACGGUAAGCGGCCAAGCGAAAGCGUUAAGUAUUCCGCCUGGGGAGUACGCCGGCAACGGUGAAACUCAAAUGAAUUGACAGAG
RNAcentral lists this ribosomal RNA (393 nucleotides) under uncultured bacterium. RNAcentral's name for it is "partial 16S ribosomal RNA". It matches the Rfam family "Bacterial small subunit ribosomal RNA", at positions 523 to 918 of the family's 1533-position model. The record is from RNAcentral.